Molecule: ribosomal RNA, 406 nt
Filed under: uncultured bacterium
Lineage: Bacteria
Description: bacterial SSU rRNA
Rfam family: Bacterial small subunit ribosomal RNA
Source: RNAcentral
AGCGAACGUUAGCGGCGCGCUUAACACAUGCAAGUCGCACGAGAAAGGGCCUCGGCCCCAGUAAAGUGGCGCACGGGUGCGUAAACACGUAGGCAAUCUUCCCUUGAGCGGGGGAUAACGUUUCGAAAGAGACGCUAAUACCGCAUAAGACCACGACCGGUUCGCCGGUUGCGGUCAAAGCUGGCCUCUUCAUGAAAGCUAGCACUUAAGGACGAGCCUGCGGCCCAUCAUGCAGUUGGUAGGGUAACGGCCUACCAAGGCGAAGACGGGUAGCUGGUCUGGGAGGAUGAUCAGCCACACUGGAACUGAAACACGGUCCAGACUCCUACGGGAGGCAGCAGUGGGGAAUAUUGGACAAUGGGCGAAAGCCUGAUCCAGCGACGCCGCGUGAGUGAUGAAGGCCUUC